This 398-nucleotide ribosomal RNA is filed under the name Crepluvia sp. Hm023007. RNAcentral describes it as "partial large subunit ribosomal RNA". Lineage: Eukaryota; Metazoa; Arthropoda; Insecta; Hemiptera; Cicadellidae. The record is from RNAcentral.
UUCCUUUAGUAAAUGUUAAAGGUAUUUUCUGCCCUAUGAUUUAAUUUAAAUGGCUGCAGUAUUCUGACUGUACAAAGGUAGCAUAAUAAUUAGUUUUUUAAUUGAGGACUUGAAUGAAAGGAUAAAUGAGGGAUUUGUUUUAUUAUAUUUAAUAUUAAAAUUUUAUUUUUUGGUAAAAAAGCUAAAUUGAAUUUUAGGGACGAGAAGACCCUAUAGAACUUUUAAAUUAAUUUUAUUAAUUUUAUUUUAGUAUUUAUUUGAUUUAAUUUAAUUGAUUUUUUAAUUGGGGUGAUUGAUAAAUUUAAAUGACUUUAUUUAUUUAUAUCACUUAUAGGUGUAUUUUUUGAUCCUAAUAGGAUUAUAAGAUAAGUUACCUUAGGGAUAACAGCGUAAUUUAA